Long non-coding RNA from Mauremys reevesii (Reeves's turtle), 1195 nucleotides. RefSeq lists it as uncharacterized. The transcript has 3 exons. NCBI's taxonomy places the organism in Eukaryota, Metazoa, Chordata, Testudines, Geoemydidae. The record is from RefSeq and is a predicted model, not a curated record.
GUCGGAGAUUUACAGUGGACCCUAGACAACCUGUGCACAGGAAAGAACUCUCGACUACCCUUCCACCUCUUCUUCUAACAUUACACCCAGGCUUGGCCAGCCUUGGGUUGUGAGUGUGACAGGCAGUAAUAGCAAGAGCCCAGGGAUACCCCGAACAGGAGUGGUGGGACCGCUCUUGCUGCUUCAGGCCUGAAGAAUCCUUUAUUGUGAUACAAUUGUUUUUCUCCCAUUGGAGCACACCCAGGAGCAAUUGACCAGCCAGACAGAUGCCUCCUCCUUUACAGUGUUGCAGCACACAUUCAACCUGGAAAGAGCUGCCUUUGCCACAGCCAUUCGGAUGGGGCAUCUAUGUCAACAAGGAAAUAUGUUAUGCUAUGUUACUAAUGAAGCUAGAAGCUACUACUGGCUUGUGUAUGCAAGUGUUGCUGCUCUAAUAAUUUUGUUUUUGCUAUAUUGCUGUUUGCGUAAAAGGCCAAUGGUGACACUAGACACACUGUCAGAGGGAGGGUAAAAACCUAAGUGGUGACCCCUUACAAUGGAAUGUAUAUUCAGAGUCAAGGAGGGAAAUGUCACAAUACAAAUUGCCACCCCAUGGGGUCCCCUGGGUAAGCACCAGCAUUGUAUAUUGCUAAUGCUUUUAUAUGCAUUGGAAAGGAUCUUGGGAAGGGUUAAAGGUGUGAGUGUGGAGUGAAAGAUUCCUUUGCAAGUUACAAGAGGCCGAAGGGGGAGGAAGGGAGACAGGAAUGGGUUAACUCAACAAUCCAGCGAGGCCCGAAAAUAAGGAAUAAAACUGCAGCCCAACGCCAGUGCACACAAACAGCCUCUGGGCUGCCAAACAGCCGGAAACCUGUAUCUCAACACCAGCCAGCUGUAAGAAAGAAGAACUGAGCCAAACAAAAUUAAAGCCGUUGCAAAACUAGUAAAAUUACAAAGGUCAACAAGGUAAAACACAACAGUCUUGCGACCCUGAAACUGGUGUGUUUUGGGAAAGCUAAGGGAGCCGCAAAAAGCUGGUUUGAACUGGUACAGAGAGCAUGGGGGACAGGGGUCUCUGGAAGAAAUGACCCCAGAAGAACCCUGGGCUUAAAACUCUUCUGAGAGCUAAGCAACUUGGAGAUUUACAGCGAACCCUAGACGACCUGUGCACAGGAAAGAACUCUCGACUACCCUCCCCACACUUCUUCUUACAUUAUAC